This 271-nucleotide small RNA is filed under the name Pan troglodytes (chimpanzee). RNAcentral describes it as "processed transcript". The record is from RNAcentral. Lineage: Eukaryota; Metazoa; Chordata; Mammalia; Primates; Hominidae.
GCUGCCCGCACCUGCACCCGCGCGUCGGCGGCGCCGAAGCCCCGCUCCCCGCCUGCGCGUCUCUCUCGUCCGCAUCUCCGCGCUCAUCUUCCCCGACCUGGUGGAGGGGCUGGUGCUGGUGAACAUCGACCCCAAUGGCAAAGGCUGGAUAGACUGGGCUGCCACCAAGCUCUCCGGCCUAACUAGCACUUUACCCGACACAGUGCUCUCCCACCUCUUCAGCCAGGAGGAGCUGGUGAACAACACAGAGUUGGUGCAGAGCUACCGGCAG